This 513-nucleotide ribosomal RNA is filed under the name Candida albicans. RNAcentral describes it as "eukaryotic LSU rRNA". The stretch from base 146 to 299 matches the Rfam family "5.8S ribosomal RNA". Lineage: Eukaryota; Fungi; Ascomycota; Pichiomycetes; Serinales; Debaryomycetaceae. The record is from RNAcentral.
GUGGGCUCUUGAUUGCUUAUUGCACCACAUGUGUUUUUCUUUGAAACAAACUUGCUUUGGCGGUGGGCCCAGCCUGCCGCCAGAGGUCUAAACUUACAACCAAUUUUUUAUCAACUUGUCACACCAGAUUAUUACUAAUAGUCAAAACUUUCAACAACGGAUCUCUUGGUUCUCGCAUCGAUGAAGAACGCAGCGAAAUGCGAUACGUAAUAUGAAUUGCAGAUAUUCGUGAAUCAUCGAAUCUUUGAACGCACAUUGCGCCCUCUGGUAUUCCGGAGGGCAUGCCUGUUUGAGCGUCGUUUCUCCCUCAAACCGCUGGGUUUGGUGUUGAGCAAUACGACUUGGGUUUGCUUGAAAGACGGUAGUGGUAAGGCGGGAUCGCUUUGACAAUGGCUUAGGUCUAACCAAAAACAUUGCUUGCGGCGGUAACGUCUACCACGUAUAUCUUCAAACUUUGACCUCAAAUCAGGUAGGACUACCCGCUGAACUUAAGCAUAUCAAUAAGCGGAGGAA